UGCAGCAACGCCGCGUGAGGGAUGACGGCCUCUCGGGUUGUAAACCUCUUUUAGCAGGGAAGAAGCGAAAGUGACGGUACCUGCAGAAAAAGCGCCGGCUAACUACGUGCCAGCAGCCGCGGUAAUACGUAGGGCGCAAGCGUUAUCCGGAAUUAUUGGGCGUAAAGAGCUCGUAGGCGGUUUGUCGCGUCUGCUGUGAAAUCCCGAGGCUCAACUUCGGGUCUGCAGUGGGUACGGGCAGACUAGAGUGCGGUAGGGGAGAUUGGAAUUCCUGGUGUAGCGGUGGAAUGCGCAGAUAUCAGGAGGAACACCGAUGGCGAAGGCAGAUCUCUGGGCCGUAACUGACGCUGAGGAGCGAAAGGGUGGGGAGCAAACAGGCUUAGAUACCCUGGUAGUCCACCCCGUAAACGUUGGGAACUAGUUGUGGGGUCCAUUCCACGGAUUCCGUGACGCAGCUAACGCAUUAAGUUCCCCGCCUGGGGAGUACGGCCGCAAGGCUAAAACUCAAAGGAAUUGACGGGGACCCGCACAAGCGGCGGAGCAUGCGGAUUAAUUCGAUGCAACGCGAAGAACCUUACCAAGGCUUGACAUAUACGAGAACGCUGCAGAAAUGUAGAACUCUUU
RNAcentral lists this ribosomal RNA (624 nucleotides) under Microbacterium sp. Ri3Pw_6220. RNAcentral describes it as "bacterial SSU rRNA". It matches the Rfam family "Bacterial small subunit ribosomal RNA", at positions 387 to 1019 of the family's 1533-position model. Lineage: Bacteria; Bacillati; Actinomycetota; Actinomycetes; Micrococcales; Microbacteriaceae. The record is from RNAcentral.